Spodoptera frugiperda (fall armyworm) is the source of this 3443-nucleotide long non-coding RNA. RefSeq lists it as uncharacterized. The record is from RefSeq and is a predicted model, not a curated record. Lineage: Eukaryota; Metazoa; Arthropoda; Insecta; Lepidoptera; Noctuidae. The transcript is spliced from 5 exons.
AGGAUCAUUCUAUUUAUUUAUUUUUAUGUUUUGCUACAUACUAAUCGAGUAAUGUUUUUUCAGAUAGACGAAUUGAAGAAUAGAGAUGGCCACAUGCAAAAUGGAGGAGGAGAAGGAGGAGUCAGAAGAUCGCGCACUUAUAUCUACAUCAUAGGACACAACACGCGCUACAGUGCCGUGUGGUGUCCGGCCGGAAAGAAUAGCACCACCCCAAGUUCUCGUGGGUGUCGUAAGAGGCGACUAAGAGACCUGAGACUGUACAACGUAAACAGCUCAGAUGACAAAUAUGGCGAUGCCGUGGGAGUUCCAGUCCUGACAGAAUUAACAUGAGGACAGAAUAGAUCUUGAUCUGGUCACUCUGGCUAUAACAAAUACUAAUAACAUUGCUAAUGAAACCUGCAAACGAAGCUUGAUCUAAUGGAAAGGAGCUGGAAAGCAAGUAAAUAGGAGAGUAAAGGAGUAGAGAGAGAAGGGAAGGAGUAGAGAAAUAAUAGAGCAAUGAAGGUUACACCAAGCUGGAGAGGAGUUCUACAUGAAGUCGAAGUAUUGAUUGUAGGAAAAUGGAGGAGCUCAGUAUUUAGGCCAUAAAUAAGAAAGAGGAUACUUGAGGAUUUAAAAUGUUAGAAACUGAACCCGUAGAAGAAGAAGAUCGAAGACAUCGUUCACAUGCAAGGAGAACAAGAAAGAAGCUGCAUUGAUAGAAGUUUCAGACGAAUCCGAAAGAAAGCAGUGAUUACGUAAGAAGAAAGAAGAACGAAUGAAAACCAUGGAGGGUAUAGAAGAAUCCUGAACUAAUCAUUAACUGGAAAGAUGAAGAGAAAUUCGGAAUUAAGCAAUACCCAUAUAAAGUUAAGGAGAAAUCAGAAUUAAGCCGUUCCCAAGAGCACUGAAGAAGAAAUAUGAUAUAAGCUUUGCAAUGAGAACGUCACCGUCUGAUGAAACAGAAUCCAGAAUUACGCCGUACCCAAGGAAGCUAUAGGAGAAUCUAGAUGUAUGCUGUACCUAAGAAGCUGAAGAAGGAUUCAGAACUACAUCUUCUGAUGAAACAGAAUCCAGAAUUAUGUCAUACCCAAGGAAGAUAUAGGAGAAUCCAGAUGUAAGCUUUACCUAAGAAGCUGAAGAAGUAACUAGAAUUUAAACAUCUGAUGAAAUAGAAUCCAGAAUUAUGCCAUACCCAAGGAAGAUAUAGGAGAAUCCAGAUGUAAAUUUUACCUAAGAAGCUGAAGAAGUAACUAGAAUUUAAACAUCUGAUGAAAUAGAAUCCAGAAUUAUGCCAUAACCAAGGAAGCCAUCCCGAGAAUCCCGAUCUAAGCUUUACCUAAGAAGCUGAAGAAGGAAUCAGAACUACAUCUUCUGAUGUAACAGAACCCAGAAUUAUGCCAAACCCAAAGGAGCUAUAGGAGCGAGAUCCACAUUACACAUCACAUUUAAACCAUGACGGUAAAGGAGAAUGCAGUACCACAUUUAAACCAUGACGCUAAAGGAGAAUGCAGUACCACAUUUAAACCAUGACGGUAAAGGAGAAUGCAGUACCACAUUUAAACCAUGACGGUAAAGGAGAAUGCAGUACCACAUUUAAACCAUGACGCUAAAGGAGAAUGCAGUACCACAUUUAAACCAUGACGGUAAAGGAGAAUGCAGUACCACAUUUAAACCAUGACGCUAAAGGAGAAUGCAGUACCACAUUUAAACCAUGACGGUAAAGGAGAAUGCAGUACCACAUUUAAACCAUGACGGUAAAGGAGAAUGCAGUACCACAUUUAAAUCAUGACGGUAAAGGAGAAUGCGGAACCACAUUUAAGCAAUGAAGGAUUUAAAGAUUAACUGAAACCAGGAAUUUAAAAGAGAAAUUGAAACCAUGACGCUAAAGGAGAAUGCAGUACCACAUUUAAACAAUGACGGUAAAGGAGAAUGCAGUACCACAUUUAAACCAUGACGGUAAAGGAGAAUGCAGUACCACAUUUAAACCAUGACGGUAAAGGAGAAUGCAGUACCACAUUUAAACCAUGACGGUAAAGGAGAAUGCAGUACCACAUUUAAACCAUGACGGUAAAGGAGAAUGCAGUACCACAUUUAAACCAUGACGCUAAAGGAGAAUGCAGUACCACAUUUAAACCAUGACGGUAAAGGAGAAUGCAGUACCACAUUUAAACCAUGACGCUAAAGGAGAAUGCAGUACCACAUUUAAACCAUGACGGUAAAGGAGAAUGCAGUACCACAUUUAAACCAUGACGGUAAAGGAGAAUGCAGUACCACAUUUAAACCAUGACGGUAAAGGAGAAUGCAGUACCACAUUUAAACCAUGACGGUAAAGGAGAAUGCAGUACCACAUUUAAACCAUGACGCUAAAGGAGAAUGCAGUACCACAUUUAAACCAUGACGGUAAAGGAGAAUGCAGUACCACAUUUAAACCAUGACGCUAAAGGAGAAUGCAGUACCACAUUUAAACCAUGACGGUAAAGGAGAAUGCAGUACCACAUUUAAAUCAUGACGGUAAAGGAGAAUGCGGAACCACAUUUAAGCAAUGAAGGAUUUAAAGAUUAACUGAAACCAGGAAUUUAAAAGAGAAAUUGAAACCAUGACGCUAAAGGAGAAUGCAGUACCACAUUUAAACAAUGACGGUAAAGGAGAAUGCAGUACCACAUUUAAACCAUGACGGUAAAGGAGAAUGCAGUACCACAUUUAAACCAUGACGGUAAAGGAGAAUGCAGUACCACAUUUAAACCAUGACGGUAAAGGAGAAUGCAGUACCACAUUUAAACCAUGACGCUAAAGGAGAAUGCAGUACCACAAUUUUGACCAUGACGGUAAAGGAAAAUGCAGUACCACAUUUAAACCAUGACGGUAAAGGAGAAUGCAGUACCACAUUUAAACCAUGACGGUAAAGGAGAAUGCAGUACCACAUUUAAACAAUGACGCUAAAGGAGAAUGCAGUACCACAUUUAAACCAUGACGGUAAAGGAGAAUGCAGUACCACAUUUAAACCAUGACGGUAAAGGAGAAUGCAGUACCACAUUUAAACCAUGACGCUAAAGGAGAAUGCAGUACCACAUUUAAACCAUGACGGUAAAGGAGAAUGCAGUACCACAUUUAAACAAUGACGGUAAAGGAGAAUGCAGUACCACAUUUAAACCAUGACGCUAAAGGAGAAUGCAGUACCACAUUUAAACAAUGACGGUAAAGGAGAAUGCAGUACCACAUUUAAACCAUGACGGUAAAGGAGAAUGCAGUACCACAUUUAAACCAUGACGGUAAAGGAGAAUGCAGUACCACAUUUAAACCAUGACGGUAAAGGAGAAUGCAGUACCACAUUUAAACCAUGACGGUAAAGGAGAAUGCAGUACCACAUUUAAACCAUGACGGUAAAGGAGAAUGCAGUACCACAUUUAAACCAUGACGUUAAAGGAGAAUGCAGUAUACUAAUGCGUAACAUUAACCGGCGG